AAACAUAGCCUUUAGCACACCAAGUAUUAAAGGUAACGCCUGCCCAGUGAAAUUUCAACGGCCGCGGUAUCCUAACCGUGCAAAGGUAGCGUAAUCACUUGUCUUAUAAAUAAAGACCUGUAUGAACGGCUAAAUGAGUAUUUAACUGUCUCCUUUAACUAAUCAGUGAAACUGAUCUCUCAGUCCAAAAGCUGAAAUAAAAACAUAAGACGAGAAGACCCUGUGGAGCUUUAAACUUUUAACAAAACAUCUUUUCAAAAGACGUUUAUGCUAAAAAUUUUUAAGUUGGGGCGACUUUGGAGUAAAACAAAACCUCCAAGAAUUAGGCACUGCCUAAGCAUCAGGCCCACUAGCCAAACAAAUAAGACCCAGUAUUACUGAUUAACGAACCAAGUUACCCCAGGGAUAACAGCGCCAUCUUCUUCAAGAGUUCAUAUCGACAAGAAGGCUUACGACCUCGAUGUUGGAUCAGGACACCCCAAUGGUGUAGCCGCUAUUAAAGGUUCGUUUGUUCAACGAUUAAUAGUCCUACGUGAUCU
This 539-nucleotide ribosomal RNA is filed under the name Anolis nebulosus. Its description in RNAcentral is "partial large subunit ribosomal RNA". It matches the Rfam family "Bacterial large subunit ribosomal RNA", at positions 1811 to 2606 of the family's 2925-position model. Lineage: Eukaryota; Metazoa; Chordata; Lepidosauria; Squamata; Anolidae. The record is from RNAcentral.